Molecule: non-coding RNA, 192 nt
Organism: Cicer arietinum (chickpea)
Lineage: Eukaryota; Viridiplantae; Streptophyta; Magnoliopsida; Fabales; Fabaceae
Source: RefSeq, a predicted model, not a curated record
AAAGGUUUGUCAACGUUUGGACCAAUAGAGUGAUGCAUUUGGGGAACACAACAUCUAACAGAGUUGAGUCUGCUCAUUGGAGAUUGAAAAACAUGCUUCAAACUAGUUUUGAUGAUUUGUGUAAAAGCUGGGAUGUAGUGAAUAUGAUGUUGAAGAACCAAAUAUGUAUCAUUCAGUCUUCUUUUCAGAAAA